RNAcentral lists this ribosomal RNA (429 nucleotides) under Bacteroidota bacterium. Its description in RNAcentral is "Bacteroidetes bacterium partial 16S ribosomal RNA". It matches the Rfam family "Bacterial small subunit ribosomal RNA", at positions 355 to 776 of the family's 1533-position model. The record is from RNAcentral. Lineage: Bacteria; Pseudomonadati; Bacteroidota.
UAGGGAAUCUUCGGCAAUGGGGGGAACCCUGACCGAGCAACGCCGCGUGAGUGAAGAAGGUUUUCGGAUCGUAAAGCUCUGUUGUUAAGGAAGAACGAGUGUGAGAAUGGAAAGUUCAUGCUGUGGCGGUACUUAACCAGAAAGGGACGGCUAACUACGUGCCAGCAGCCGCGGUAAUACGUAGGUCCCGAGCGUUGUCCGGAUUUAUUGGGCGUAAAGCGAGCGCAGGCGGUUAGAAAAGUCUGAAGUGAAAGGCAGUGGCUCAACCAUUGUAGGCUUUGGAAACUGUUUAACUUGAGUGCAGAAGGGGAGAGUGGAAUUCCAUGUGUAGCGGUGAAAUGCGUAGAUAUAUGGAGGAACACCGGUGGCGAAAGCGGCUCUCUGGUCUGUAACUGACGCUGAGGCUCGAAAGCGUGGGGAGCGAACAGG